GUGAACACGAGUCAAAAACUGACGAACACGAGUGAACACGAGUCAAAAAUGACGAACACGAGUGAACACGAGUCAAAAAUGACGAACACGAGUGAACACGAGUCAAAAAUGACGAACACGAGUGAACACGAGUCAAAAAUGACGAACACGAGUGAACACGAGUCAAAAAUGACGAACACGAGUGAACACGAGUCAAAAACUGACGAACACGAGUGAACACGAGUCAAAAACUGACGAACACGAGUCAAAAAUGACGAACACGAGUGAAAACGAGUCAAAAAUGACGAACACGAGUGAACACGAGUCAAAAACUGACGAACACGAGUCAAAAACGCAUUCUUAAAGAGGCUCCCUACAGUUUUAAGCCCGUGAUGAAGAUCUGUAUUGUGUAAUUGCACGCGGGUUUCUUGGCGGCCCACAGGAU
Non-coding RNA from Paramuricea clavata, 424 nucleotides. Lineage: Eukaryota; Metazoa; Cnidaria; Anthozoa; Malacalcyonacea; Plexauridae. The record is from the annotation of a GenBank genome assembly.